CAUGCCUGUCAAAAUCAUAUGGUUGGUGAGAGUGCUUAAUUCAACAACCAAUAUAAUGAAUCUAAUUAAUUAAUCGUAGGUAUUUAAGCGGCAUUUAUUUAGAUUAUUGUAAUUGCAACACUCAGUGUAAUCAACGUAGUUAAUCAUGGGUUACUAAGGUGCAUCAAAAUACAAAAAAGGAAGUGGAAACAUUAAAGUGACCAGUACCUAGAAAAAGACGUCCACAGGUCCACGACAUGAAGAAUUAGGUACCUACCGAAAAAGGAUGCAGUUCAAAAGAAGAUGGUGCAGUAAUGGAACAUCACAAGAAAUCUGAAGAGGCUAAAGUACCUUAAGAGAAUCAAAUGUAAAUAUUAAAGCUAAUAAAUGUUUUUAUUUUUA
Molecule: long non-coding RNA, 381 nt
Organism: Diabrotica virgifera virgifera (western corn rootworm)
Lineage: Eukaryota; Metazoa; Arthropoda; Insecta; Coleoptera; Chrysomelidae
Exons: 2
Source: RefSeq, a predicted model, not a curated record